Molecule: ribosomal RNA, 179 nt
Filed under: uncultured bacterium
Lineage: Bacteria
Description: partial 16S ribosomal RNA
Rfam family: Bacterial small subunit ribosomal RNA
Source: RNAcentral
GACUCCAUGAAGCUGGAUUCGCUAGUAAUCGCGCAUCAGCCACGGCGCGGUGAAUACGUUCCCGGGCCUUGUACACACCGCCCGUCAAGCCAUGGAAGCCGGGGGUGCCUGAAGUGUGCAGCCGCAAGGAGCGCCCUAAGGUAAAACCGGUGACUGGGGCUAAGUCGUAACAAGGUAAC